This 427-nucleotide ribosomal RNA is filed under the name uncultured archaeon. RNAcentral describes it as "bacterial SSU rRNA". It matches the Rfam family "Archaeal small subunit ribosomal RNA", at positions 474 to 903 of the family's 1478-position model. The record is from RNAcentral.
AACCAGCUCUUCAAGUGGUCGGGAUAAUUAUUGGGCUUAAAGUGUCCGUAGCCGGUUUAGUAAGUUCCUGGUAAAAUCGGGUAGCUUAACUAUCUAUAUGCUAGGAAUACUGCUAUACUAGAGGGCGGGAGAGGUCUGAGGUACUACAGGGGUAGGGGUGAAAUCUUAUAAUCCUUGUAGGACCACCAGUGGCGAAGGCGUCAGACUGGUACGCGCCUGACGGUGAGGGACGAAAGCCAGGGGAGCGAACCGGAUUAGAUACCCGGGUAGUCCUGGCCGUAAACGAUGCAUACUAGGUGAUGGCACGGCCAUGAGCCGUGUCAGUGCCGUAGGGAACCGUUAAGUGUGCCGCCUGGGAAGUACGGUCGCAAGGCUAAAACUUAAGGAAUUGGCGGGGGAGCACCACAAGGGGUGAAGCCUGCGGUUC